RNAcentral lists this small RNA (100 nucleotides) under Dickeya dadantii 3937. Lineage: Bacteria; Pseudomonadati; Pseudomonadota; Gammaproteobacteria; Enterobacterales; Pectobacteriaceae. The record is from RNAcentral.
UGCGAUGCAGUCCGCAACAAAUGCCAACUUUUAGCGCACGGCUCUCUCCCAAGAGCCAUUUCCCUAGACCGGGCACAGGAAUCGUGUUCGGUCUUUUUUU